ACGUAGGGUGCGAGCGUUGUCCGGAUUCAUUGGGCGUAAAGGGCUAGUAGGCGGCUUAGCAAGUCGGGUGUGAAAACUUCAGGCUCAACCUGGAGCGGCCAUCCGAUACUGCUAUGGCUAGAGUCCGGUAGGGGACCACGGAAUUCCUGGUGUAGCGGUGAAAUGCGCAGAUAUCAGGAGGAACACCGGUGGCGAAGGCGGUGGUCUGGGCCGGAACUGACGCUGAAUAGCGAAAGCGUGGGUAGCGAACAGGA
This 254-nucleotide ribosomal RNA is filed under the name uncultured prokaryote. RNAcentral's name for it is "partial 16S ribosomal RNA". It matches the Rfam family "Bacterial small subunit ribosomal RNA", at positions 525 to 777 of the family's 1533-position model. The record is from RNAcentral.